UAACCUGCCCAAGAGAUCGGGAUAACACCUGGAAACAGAUGCUAAUACCGGAUAACAACAGAUGAUGCCUAUCAACUGUUUAAAAGAUGGUUCUGCUAUCACUCUUGGAUGGACCUGCGGUGCAUUAGCUAGUUGGUAGGGUAACGGCCUACCAAGGCGAUGAUGCAUAGCCGAGUUGAGAGACUGAUGGCCACAUUGGGACUGAGACACGGCCCAAACUCCUACGGGAGGCAGCAGCC
RNAcentral lists this ribosomal RNA (239 nucleotides) under uncultured Lactobacillus sp. RNAcentral's name for it is "partial 16S ribosomal RNA". It matches the Rfam family "Bacterial small subunit ribosomal RNA", at positions 122 to 355 of the family's 1533-position model. The record is from RNAcentral. Lineage: Bacteria; Bacillati; Bacillota; Bacilli; Lactobacillales; Lactobacillaceae.